GAUCCUGGUGAUGACAGACGAAUUGUCAGUCAAUCCCCAUGUGGUAUAGGACAUGUCCUGCAGUUCUGAAGGGAUU
Molecule: small nucleolar RNA, 76 nt
Filed under: Rhinopithecus bieti (black snub-nosed monkey)
Lineage: Eukaryota; Metazoa; Chordata; Mammalia; Primates; Cercopithecidae
Description: Small nucleolar RNA SNORD96 family (ENSRBIG00000002707.1)
Source: RNAcentral